This 389-nucleotide ribosomal RNA is filed under the name uncultured bacterium. RNAcentral's name for it is "bacterial SSU rRNA". It matches the Rfam family "Bacterial small subunit ribosomal RNA", at positions 28 to 419 of the family's 1533-position model. The record is from RNAcentral.
GACGAACGCUGGCGGCGUGCUUAACACAUGCAAGUCGAGCGGUAAGGCCCUUUCGGGGGUUCACGAGCGGCGAACGGGUGAGUAACACGUGGGUGACCUGCCCUCAGCUCUGGGAUAAGCCUGGGAAACCGGGUCUAAUACCGGAUAUGACUCCAUGACGCAUGUUGUGGGGUGGAAAGCCUUGUGCGGCUGAGGAUGGGCCCGCGGCCUAUCAGCUUGUUGGUGGGGNGAUGGCCUACCAAGGCGACGACGGGUAGCCGGCCUGAGAGGGCGACCGGCCACACUGGGACUGAGACACGGCCCAGACUCCUACGGGAGGCAGCAGUGGGAAUCUUGCGCAAUGGGCGAAAGCCUGACGCAGCGACGCCGCGUGAGGGAUGACGGCCUGG